UGGGUUUGACAUGCACCAGACGCGUUCAGAGAUGGGCGUUCCCUUGUGGUUGGUGUGCAGGUGGUGCAUGGCUGUCGUCAGCUCGUGUCGUGAGAUGUUGGGUUAAGUCCCGCAACGAGCGCAACCCUUAUUCCAUGUUGCCAGCACGUGAUGGUGGGGACUCAUGGGAGACUGCCGGGGUCAACUCGGAGGAAGGUGGGGAUGACGUCAAGUCAUCAUGCCCCUUAUGUCCAGGGCUUCACACAUGCUACAAUGGCUCAUACAGAGGGCUGCGAGACCGUGAGGUGGAGCGAAUCCCUUAAAGUGGGUCUCAGUUCGGAUCGGGGUCUGCAACUCGACCCCGUGAAGUCGGAGUCGCUAGUAAUCGCAGAUCAGCAACGCUGCGGUGAAUACGUUCCCGGGCC
Molecule: ribosomal RNA, 404 nt
Filed under: uncultured bacterium
Lineage: Bacteria
Description: bacterial SSU rRNA
Rfam family: Bacterial small subunit ribosomal RNA
Source: RNAcentral